RNAcentral lists this ribosomal RNA (667 nucleotides) under uncultured bacterium. RNAcentral's name for it is "bacterial SSU rRNA". It matches the Rfam family "Bacterial small subunit ribosomal RNA", at positions 825 to 1498 of the family's 1533-position model. The record is from RNAcentral.
GGUGUCCUAGAGACAUCAGUGAUGCAGUUACCACAUUAAACAUUCCGCCUGGGGAGUACGGUCGCAAGAUUAAAACUCAAAGGAAUAGACGGGGACCCGCACAAGUGGUGGAGCAUGUGGUUUAAUUCGAAGAUACGCGAAGAACCUUACCUAGCCUUGACAUAUAUUAGAAUCUUUCAGAGAUGAGAGAGUGCCUUCGGGAGCUUUUAUACAGGUGCUGCACGGCUGUCGUCAGCUCGUGUCGUGAGAUGUUGGGUUAAGUCCCGCAACGAGCGCAACCCUCGUCACUAGUUACUAACGGUUCGGCCGAGGACUCUAGUGAGACUGCCUUCGCAAGGAGGAGGAAGGUGAGGACGACGUCAAGUCAUCAUGGCCCUUACGGCUAGGGCAACACACGUGCUACAAUGGCCAGGACAGUGAGACGCGAUACCGCGAGGUGGAGCAAAUCUAUAAACCUGGUCUCAGUUCGGAUUGUAGUCUGCAACUCGACUACAUGAAGCUGGAAUCACUAGUAAUCGUAGAUCAGCAAUGCUACGGUGAAUACGUUCCCGGGUCUUGUACUCACCGCCCGUCACACCAUGGGAGUUGAUUUCACCCGAAGCGGGGAAGCUAAACUGGCUACCCUCCACGGUGGAAUUAGCGACUGGGGUGAAGUCGUAACAAGGUA